UACGUAGGGGGCAAGCGUUGUCCGGAAUCAUUGGGCGUAAAGAGCGUGUAGGCGGCCCUCUAAGUCCGCUGUGAAAGUCCAGGGCUCAACCCUGGGAUGCCGGUGGAUACUGUCGGGCUCGAGUCCGGAAGAGGAGUGUGGAAUUCCGGGUGUAGCGGUGGAAUGCGUAGAGAUCCGGAGGAACACCGGUGGCGAAGGCGGGACUCUGGGCCGAUACUGACGCUGAGGAGCGAAAGCGUGGGGAGCAAACAGG
Molecule: ribosomal RNA, 253 nt
Filed under: uncultured bacterium
Lineage: Bacteria
Description: partial 16S ribosomal RNA
Rfam family: Bacterial small subunit ribosomal RNA
Source: RNAcentral